UACGUAGGGUGCAAGCGUUGUCCGGAUUUAUUGGGCGUAAAGCGCGCGUAGGCGGUCUGUCGCGUCGGUCGUGAAAACUUGGGGCUUAACCCUGAGCUUGCGGUCGAUACGGGCAUGACUGGAGUUCGGCAGGGGAGACUGGAAUUCCUGGUGUAGCGGUGAAAUGCGCAGAUAUCAGGAGGAACACCGGUGGCGAAGGCGGGUCUCUGGGCCGAUACUGACGCUGAGGAGCGAAAGCGUGGGGAGCGAACAGG
Molecule: ribosomal RNA, 254 nt
Filed under: uncultured bacterium
Lineage: Bacteria
Description: partial 16S ribosomal RNA
Rfam family: Bacterial small subunit ribosomal RNA
Source: RNAcentral